Molecule: transfer RNA, 72 nt
Filed under: Ornithorhynchus anatinus (platypus)
Lineage: Eukaryota; Metazoa; Chordata; Mammalia; Monotremata; Ornithorhynchidae
Rfam family: tRNA
About the family: Transfer RNA (tRNA) molecules are approximately 80 nucleotides in length. Their secondary structure includes four short double-helical elements and three loops (D, anti-codon, and T loops).
Source: Rfam by way of RNAcentral
AGCAGCGUGGCUCAGUGGAAAGAGCCCGGCCUCGGGAGUCAGAGGUCACGGGUUCGAAUCCCGGCUCUGCCA